GGGCGUAAGGGCUCGCAGGCGGUUUCUUAAGUCUGAUGUGAAAGCCCCCGGCUCAACCGGGGAGGGUCAUUGGAAACUGGGAAACUUGAGUGCAGAAGAGGAGAGUGGAAUUCCACGUGUAGCGGUGAAAUGCGUAGAGAUGUGGAGGAACACCAGUGGCGAAGGCGACUCUCUGGUCUGUAACUGACGCUGAGGAGCGAAAGCGUGGGGAGCGAACAGGAUUAGAUACCCUGGUAGUCCACGCCGUAAACGAUGAGUGCUAAGUGUUAGGGGGUUUCCGCCCCUUAGUGCUGCAGCUAACGCAUUAAGCACUCCGCCUGGGGAGUACGGUCGCAAGACUGAAACUCAAAGGAAUUGACGGGGGCCCGCACAAGCGGUGGAGCAUGUGGUUUAAUUCGAAGCAACGCGAAGAACCUUACCAGGUCUUGACAUCCUCUGACAACCCUAGAGAUAGGGCUUUCCCUUCGGGGACAGAGUGACAGGUGGUGCAUGGUUGUCGUCAGCUCGUGUCGUGAGAUGUUGGGUUAAGUCCCGCAACGAGCGCAACCCUUGAUCUUAGUUGCCAGCAUUCAGUUGGGCACUCUAAGGUGACUGCCGGUGACAAACCGGAGGAAGGUGGGGAUGACGUCAAAUCAUCAUGCCCCUUAUGACCUGGGCUACACACGUGCUACAAUGGACAGAACAAAGGGC
This 690-nucleotide ribosomal RNA is filed under the name Bacillus pumilus. RNAcentral's name for it is "bacterial SSU rRNA". It matches the Rfam family "Bacterial small subunit ribosomal RNA", at positions 556 to 1247 of the family's 1533-position model. Lineage: Bacteria; Bacillati; Bacillota; Bacilli; Caryophanales; Bacillaceae. The record is from RNAcentral.